CGGCGGGGCGGUGGGGAUGGUUGGGCCGGCACCUGGGUGGGUGGGAUCCUGGCUGGACGGGGGCGGACAGAGCGGGGAGCUGGUGGAGAGGCGAGCGAGAGUGGGGAGGAUUGCGAGGAGACGCGCGGCGAGGAGGUGGAAGGCGGGAGGGCGCUGAGAGGCGGCCCGAGUGGGGACAUGGAUGAAAUCUGACGCAGACACCGUGGCAUUCCACGAACUUUUUUGAGCCCUGAAAUGAUGUUUUCACUCUCAAAAGUGAAAAACAAUUGCAAAUCGAAAUUAAUAAGUCUACCAAAAUAACCUCUCAACUGGUACAUAAGCCAUAUAUUAUACAUCACGAUGUGGGUUCAUUUAAUACAUUUUAUACAAUUUGGAGAGGGGCGAUCAAGUCGGAGUGUUUAGGACCCUCGGAGGUCCUGAAAUGGCCUUGAACUGAGAAGGGUUUGGGAUGGAAGCGAGGAGGUAGUGUCAGAGCUGAUUUGCCUUUCUAGGGAUACCAAGCCGAAGGCAUUGGCCCGUGGGAGUACCAAGUCAGGGAUACUGCGAAAUUGACUCCUCUAGGUUUUCAGAAAGGGACCAGAAAUGUCAUGUGAACUGGAGAUUAAAGGGUGGCUAAGUCGCCCUGGGUUUAGAGUACAGGAUAAGACAUCAGGGAAGUCCAGGGUCAGGGACCUUAAAAGGUGCAGAGGAUGGUACCUCAGAGUGCACCCCCUUUAGUAAACUGAGGCCCUAAGGGAAUAUCUGAUUUAGAGUAAGGUAUCCCAGGGUGGGGUUUAGACUACAUCGCAAACCUGCAUCUUGUAAUUGUGGAAGCAACAUAUGUACGGAGUUGUCUGGUGGGUUUCUUUGGGGCUAGUUUGCCUCUUUCUUAUUAACCACAACAAAGGAACCUUAAAGAGAACUCAACUUCUGCCAUUAAAUAAUUACAUCCAACACAGGAAAUGGGAAGGAUAUUGAUGGACAUAAGGAGGUAUGAAGUGAGUUUUGUGUUAAAGUACAUGUUGGCUUCCCUCAGACGACUUAGAUGAUAAUGUGAGGCAAGAAAACUGAACGUUUAGCGUAUAUCCUUUCCUUAUUCAUAUACUACACAUCAAUGCUAGAUACUUUUCCCUAAAACAUAACUUUUUUAAAGCAUAUUCUCUGCUUAAGACUCCAACCCCCACAUUUCUACCCCCAAAUAUAUUACCAUAAGGUUUUUCCACUUCUUUACUAUUCACAUUUUGGGCUAGAUAAUUAUUUGUUGUGGGGGACUGUCCUGUGCACGGUGGGAUAUUUAGAAGCAUCACAAAAUGCCCACUAGGUGCCCAUAGUAGCGCACGCGCGCGCGCACACACACACGUACGCACACACCAAGUUAUGACAGCAAAACUCUUUAAAAAUUGUUGGGGCACCUGGGUGGCUCAGUCGGUUAAGGCAACUUGACUUUUGAUUUCAGCUCAGGUCAUGAUCUCGCGUCAUGACAUCAAGCCCCACAGGGCUCUGCACUGGGUGUGAAGCCUACCUAAGAUUCUCUGACCCUCCCCUGCUCUGGCAUGAGUGUGUUCUCUCUCAAAAAAAAAAAAAAAAAAAAAAAAAGGAAAAAAAUUGUCAUAUGUCCCUGGGGGACAAAAUCACCCCAGUCCUAUUGAGAACCAUAGGAUAGAGCCCAUUGACUUUAACCUGGCUUUUAAGAUUCUUCAUUAUCUGUUCUCAGUCUGUCUUUCCCAGAACGUGAUCCAGUCUAAAAGAACCACCAAUGCAGGAAUCCUUUCUUUAGUUUCCUCCAUAAAUUAUCUACUUGUCUGGGACAUUUCAAGGAUGGAAAAGACUUAAAACCUUUACUUUGCCAAUUCAGCUUCAUAGUCACUUUGCAUCUACAUAUUGGUUUGUGCCCUGUCACGACCAGAUCAAGGAGAAAGAUUAAACACUUUAAGAUGAGAAAAAAUGACCUGUGUUUGAGCUCUGAGGGGGCGGAAGUGAUUUUAGCUACAUCAAGUGAUGAAAAACACCCUCCUGAAAGUAUGAUUGAUGGGAAUCCAGAUACAUUUUGGACCACAACAGGAAUGUUUCCCCAAGAGUUCAUUAUUUGUUUUCACAAACAUGUAAGGAUUGAAAGACUUGUAAUCCAGAGUUACUUUGUGAGGACGUUGAGGAUUGAAAAGAGCACCUCUAAAGAGCCAGUUGAUUUUGAGCCAUGGAUUGAAAGAGAUCUAGUCCACACAGAGGGGCAGCUUCAGAAUGAAGAAAUUAUGGAAACACGAGGGAUGGAUAAACAAGUAAAAUGACACCAAAAGGAAGCAAAUAGACUAGAGGCCAUUUUGUAGCUCACUGAAAUGUGCAGAGCUGCGCCUUCCCUGCACAAGGUAAGAUAUGCUUCCUGGCCUUCUUGGCUUGGGUAGGGCCAUGUGACCAAUUGUGGGUGAUGAGAUGAGGGGAAAGUGAUUGCUAGGCCGAGCAUUUAAUUGCCUGCAUGAGACACUUCAAAGCUCUUUUUUUUUUUCUCUGUCACAACGACCGGCCGUGACGUUCUACACAGUAACUACUUCAUCAGUCUGGGUCUGGAAGUGAGCCUGGUGAUGGCAGGUAGCAGACCUCUCAGCCAGUGUGAGAUGGACAUACAGAAGGAAAAAUAAAGGUUCAUCGUUUUAAGUCCAUGAAAUUUGGAGUAUAACCUGGCCUGUCCUGACCGAUUCACAGACAAAUCUAGAAUGUGGCUUAUCCUACACAGCAAGUGACCUGGUUUCUUCAAGUCAGUGGCCUGAAAAAUGACUCAAGCCAUCUCAGCCCUCAGGUAGCUUCAGAGGAGGGGGAAUGUCCCCAGAGGGCUAAGGUUAAUAAACUCCAAAUGGCAGCGGAGAUGGAACUGAAGGAGAGACAGGCAGGACACAGCAGAGGAGGUGCUGGAGGAAGCAUGGUGAAGGCGGGCUGCCGUGAGAAAAUCCAGCAGGCUGGGGGCUUAAACAGACAUUUAUUUUCUCACACUUCUGGAGACUGAAAGGCCAAGCUCAGAGUGCCAGCAUCGUUGGUUUCUGGUGAGACCUCUCUUCCUGGCUUGUACACGGCCACCAUCUUCCUAUGUGCUCACAUGACCUCUUCUCUGUCCACAGCGGGAAAGCGAGCUCUCUAGUGUCCGUUCUUAAAAGGACACUGAUCCUAUUGUAUCAUUGCCCUUGCCUGACCUCAUUUAACAUUACUAAUUUUUUUUAAUGUUUAUUUUUGAGAAACAGAGACAGAGCAUGAGCAAGGGAGGGACAGAGAGAGAGGGAGACACAGAAUCUGAAGCAGGCUCCAGGCUCUGAGCUGUCAGCACAGAGCCUGAUGCGGAGCUCGAACUCGUGAGCCGUGAUAUCAUGACCUAAGCCGAAGUUGGACACUCAACCAACUGAGCCACCCAGGCUCCCCUCACUUAACCUUAAUUACCACCUCUAGGCCCUGUCUCCAAAUAGAGUCACCCUGGGGGUUAGAGCUACAACAUAUGAAUUCAGUGCGUAGGAGGUGGUGAGAAGGCAGUUAAAGCAGAGAGUGUGACUGAGGGGAUUUCUAGGAGCACUGUUGCAAAGGAGGUAGUAAACUUAAUAAGAGGAUAUCUAAGACUGCUAAUCUAUUUUUUAAUUUGAAUUUAUUGUUUAAUUUACGUCCAAGUUAGUUAGCAUAUGGUGCAGCAAUGAUUUCAGGAAUAGGUUCCAUAAUGCCUCUUACCCAUUGAGACCAUCCCCCCUCCAACCACCCUCCAGCAACCCUCUGUUCUCUAUAUUUAAGAGUGCCUUAUGUUUUGUCCCCCUCCCUAUUUUUAUAUUAUUUUUGCUUCCCUUCCCUUAUGUUCAUCUGUUUUGUAUCUUAAAUCCUCAUGAGUGAAGUCAUGUGAUACUUGUCUUUCUCUAAUUUCGCUUAGCAUAAUACCCUCCAGUUCCAUCCCCGUAGUUGCAAAUGGCAAGAUUUCCUUCUUUUUGAUAGCCGAGUAAUACUCCACUGUAUAUGUGUAUACCACAUUUUCUUUAUCCAUUCAUCCAUCGAUGGACAUUUGGGCUCUUUCCAUACUUUGGCUGUUGUUGAUAGUGCUGCUAUAAACAUUGGGGUGCAUGUGCCCCUUUGAAACAGCACACCUGUAUCCCUUGGAUAAAUACCUAGUAGUGCAAUUGCUGUUAAGACCGCUAACCUAAAUGAAAGUUGCAGAUAGCCCCAGCUUACUCCAUCCUUCUACACUCUGUUCCAGCAAAUAACAUGCCCCAUUAAAGAAGAGUAAUCAGAAAAGACCCAGAAGGGUACUGCUUUAGGUCAGGUUCUCUAGAAACAGAGCCCAAAACAGAGAUUCUUGCAGGAGCGAUUUACUGAAUGAGUGCUGUCAGGAAGCAGGAUAUACCAGGAGGGGAAAGCUAAUCCAAGAUCUGGCUUCAGCUGAAGCCCCAGCCUGAUCCCAUAGGGAGCUCUGGACCAUGAGUGGCACCAGAGAGGUAUACUCCCCACCAUGAGGCAAAGGACCAGGACUUUGUGCUUCAAAUGCAUCAAUCAUGGGCCACCUCAGGAAUUUUGGGUAACACAGCUCCUGUCACUUGAGGGCACUUGUCAGGAGAAAGGGCAUCUGUGAGGAACCAAUACGGCAGCUGGCAGAUGGGUGCACUGGCUUGGUGAGAGGGACCAGGGUGGAUCACCAACAACAUCCAGUAUCUCAGUGCUCCUCAAACUGUGGUCCCUGAAACAGCAGCGUCAGCCUCUAUCUGAGAACUUGUUAGAAACGCAGAUUUCCUAGCCCCCCCUCCCCCCGCCCCAGAUCUGUUGAAUCAGAAAUACUGGGGGGUGAGACCCAUGAAUCUAUUUUAACAAGCCCUCCAGGGAAUUUUAAUGCAUGCCGAAGCUUGAGAACCACCAUACUGUAGAGAAUGAUGACUAGAAACUAAGACAUUGGAGGAAAAAAACAAAAAUAAAGCGGCUAUACAACACAUGUUGCAAGAGAAAUUAAAGAA
Panthera uncia (snow leopard) is the source of this 4940-nucleotide RNA transcript. It is a transcript of the gene named intraflagellar transport 25, with no coding region annotated. The record is from RefSeq and is a predicted model, not a curated record. The transcript has 8 exons. Lineage: Eukaryota; Metazoa; Chordata; Mammalia; Carnivora; Felidae.